UAGAUGUUUAAAUUUCGUCAACCCUGUGACUACCACUAAGUUUCCUCCGCGGAUCACCCAGCUCCCCGUUUAAACGGGCGGCCCCCCCCAGGAGACCCCCAAUCUGUAUCUAUAUGAAGCUUCUGAUUAAUACCAUAAAUAAAUCAAAACUUUCUUCCAUGGAUCUAUUGGUUCUGGCAGCCAUGAAUAAAGAACCCAACUGCAAGAAAUAAUGUGUGUUGCUUAAGUAAUUGAAUGAUUUAUCCAAUCAACGCACGUUGAUUGCGCCAGUAAUCUGGCGGGCGUGCAUGUUCGAGCGACCUUUCUACCCUCCAACAUGCCUCGGGGUUGGGACUCGAGAAAAUUCGCGUUCCUCAAAUUGAUUGGCGGUCACCCCCAGCUUCCAUGGCGGACUAGUAAAACCUUCCUUACUGGAAAUCCUCACGGCCACCCAGUGGAAACCCAACUUCUGAAUGUUGACCUCGGAUCAGGUAGGAAUACCCGCUGAACUUAAGCAUAUCAAACCCGGGAGGAAUAAGCAUAUCAAAAGGCCGGAGGAA
RNAcentral lists this ribosomal RNA (539 nucleotides) under Fusarium oxysporum. Its description in RNAcentral is "eukaryotic LSU rRNA". Lineage: Eukaryota; Fungi; Ascomycota; Sordariomycetes; Hypocreales; Nectriaceae. The record is from RNAcentral.